GAUGAACGCUGGCGGCGUGCCUAAUACAUGCAAGUCGAGCGAACGGACGAGAAGCUUGCUUCUCUGAUGUUAGCGGCGGACGGGUGAGUAACACGUGGAUAACCUACCUAUAAGACUGGGAUAACUUCGGGAAACCGGAGCUUAUACCGGAUAAUAUUUUGAACCGCAUGGUUCAAAAGUGAAAGACGGUCUUGCUGGCACUUAUAGAUGGAUCUGAGCUUCAUUAGCUAGUUGGUAAGGUAAAGGCUUACCAAGGCGACUAUGCAUAGACGACGUGAGAGGCUGAUAGCCCACACUGGAGCUUAAACACGGUCCAGACUCCUGAGGGAGGCAGCAGUAGGGAAUCGUCCGCAAUGGGCGAAAGCCUGACGGAACAACGCCGCGUGAGUGAUGAAGAUCUUCGGAUCGUAAAACUCUGUUAUUAGUGAAGAACAUAUGUGUAAGUAACUGUGCACAUCUUGACGGUACCUAAUCAGAAAGCCACGGCUAACUACGUG
Molecule: ribosomal RNA, 497 nt
Filed under: uncultured bacterium
Lineage: Bacteria
Description: partial 16S ribosomal RNA
Rfam family: Bacterial small subunit ribosomal RNA
Source: RNAcentral